UAGACGGAGAGUUUGAUCCUGGCUCAGGGUUAACGCUGGCGGCGCGCCUGAUACAUGCAAGUCGAGCGAGGGCUCAUUUCUCGCAAGAGAGAUGGGUUCCUAGCGGCGAACGGGUGAGUAACACGUGGGCAACCUUUCCCAAAGUGGGGGAUAACAUCGAGAAAUCGGUGCUAAUACCGCAUGUGGUCAUCGAAGACAUCUUCGAUGAGAAAAGCAGCAAUGCGCUUUGGGGUGGGCCCGCGGCCUAUCAGCUAGUUGGUGGGGUAACGGCCUACCAAGGCAUUGACGGGUAGCUGGUCUGAGAGGACGACCAGCCACACGGGGACUGAGACACGGCCCCGACUCCUACGGGAGGCAGCAGUAAGGAAUCUUCCGCAAUGGGCGAAAGCCUGACGGAGCGACGCCGCGUGUGGGAUGAAGUCUUUCGGGAUGUAAACCACUGUCGGAGGGGAAGAGAACGGACGGUACCCUCCAAGAAAGCCCCGGCUAACUACGUGCCAGCAGCCGCGGUAAUACGUAGGGGGCAAGCGUUACUCGGAUUUACUGGGCGUAAAGCGCGUGUAGGCGGCUGGUCAAGAGUGAUGUGAAAUCUCCGGGCUCAACCCGGAAACUGCAUCGCUAACUGGCCUGGCUAGAGUGCAGGAGAGGGCAGUGGAAUUCACGGUGUAGCGGUGGAAUGCGUAGAUAUCGUGAGGAACACCAGUGGCGAAGGCGACUGCCUGGCCUGUAACUGACGCUGAGACGCGAAAGCGUGGGGAGCGAACCGGAUU
This 770-nucleotide ribosomal RNA is filed under the name Candidatus Dormiibacter inghamiae. Its description in RNAcentral is "bacterial SSU rRNA". It matches the Rfam family "Bacterial small subunit ribosomal RNA", at positions 1 to 779 of the family's 1533-position model. The record is from RNAcentral. Lineage: Bacteria; Bacillati; Candidatus Dormiibacterota; Candidatus Dormibacteria; Candidatus Dormibacterales; Candidatus Dormibacteraceae.